RNAcentral lists this ribosomal RNA (309 nucleotides) under uncultured bacterium. RNAcentral describes it as "bacterial SSU rRNA". It matches the Rfam family "Bacterial small subunit ribosomal RNA", at positions 28 to 334 of the family's 1533-position model. The record is from RNAcentral.
GAUGAACGCUGGCGGCGUGCUUAACACAUGCAAGUCGAGCGAUGAAGUUUCCUUCGGGAAACGGAUUAGCGGCGGACGGGUGAGUAACACGUGGGUAACCUGCCUCAUAGAGUGGAAUAGCCUUCCGAAAGGAAGAUUAAUACCGCAUAACGUUGAAAGAUGGCAUCAUCAUUCAACCAAAGGAGCAAUCCGCUAUGAGAUGGACCCGCGGCGCAUUAGCUAGUUGGUGGGGUAAUGGCCUACCAAGGCGAUGAUAGGUAGCCGGCCUGAGAGGGUGAACGGCCACAAGGGGACUGAGACACGGCCCUU